RNAcentral lists this long non-coding RNA (697 nucleotides) under Gallus gallus (chicken). RNAcentral describes it as "long non-coding RNA NONGGAT002557". Lineage: Eukaryota; Metazoa; Chordata; Aves; Galliformes; Phasianidae. The record is from RNAcentral.
UGCACCGGAGAUGAGCAGGGAAACAGCACUGAGUGGGGGAAAAGCCCCCACCGUGGAAGGAGUGAUAAAGAGAAAGGCAGGGACUUCAAAGCAGUUGGAAACAAGUGGGGUGUGAACUGGGGCCCAGCUCGUGCCCUGAGCGAGUGGUGGGGCUGAUGGCAACACAGGGCCAUAGCAGCAGCUGCAGCUCCUCAGUCCUCCUGCAGUCCCCCUGUCAGGAUAACUCUUCUCUCCCUCCAUCCAUUCAGGAGUUGGACUCCAGGAUCCUUACGGGUCCCUCACCCAUGACACUCCCCCAUACAGAACAGUCAAAGACCACAACAUCUGCUCCAUGAGGUGCAGCCCAGGAGCUAUUCCUCCCUGCGAGGCUGUGGGCAUUACUGCUGGCAUCAUCUGUCCCAUCACAAAGGGACAGCUUACAUCACCCCCCCGAGUAGCUGCAGAGAACCACGAAAGGAUGGGAGAUGAGACGGCUCCCAGGGUGAUUUGCUAUCAUGCCCUCUGAGAGCUGCUGAAACAUGGGAGCUGCAGGAAGCAGCAGUGAUGUAACCACCAUCUCGGUAGCAGCAGAGCAGGAGGGAUGGAGCAGAAGCCCUUUGCCAGGUGGGAUACACUGCACUCCUCAGCUUCCUGCUGCUUCCCACAGGCUUCGGUGCUGGCAUCCAUUCUCCAGCUCCCAGCCUGGAACAGGGCAGGU